UACAGAGGGUGCAAGCGUUGUUCGGAAUUAUUGGGCGUAAAGCGCGUGUAGGCGGCUUUGCAAGUCGGGUGUGAAAGCCCUCGGCUCAACCGAGGAAGUGCGCCCGAAACUGCAGAGCUUGAGUACCGGAGAGGAUGGCGGAAUUCCCGGUGUAGAGGUGAAAUUCGUAGAUAUCGGGAGGAACACCAGUGGCGAAGGCGGCGAUCUGGGAAGAUACUGACGCUGAGGUGCGAAAGCGUGGGGAGCAAACAGG
RNAcentral lists this ribosomal RNA (253 nucleotides) under uncultured bacterium. RNAcentral describes it as "partial 16S ribosomal RNA". It matches the Rfam family "Bacterial small subunit ribosomal RNA", at positions 524 to 776 of the family's 1533-position model. The record is from RNAcentral.